RNAcentral lists this small nuclear RNA (153 nucleotides) under Trifolium pratense (red clover). RNAcentral describes it as "snRNA U1". It matches the Rfam family "U1 spliceosomal RNA". Rfam says of the family: U1 is a small nuclear RNA (snRNA) component of the spliceosome (involved in pre-mRNA splicing). Its 5' end forms complementary base pairs with the 5' splice junction, thus defining the 5' donor site of an intron. Lineage: Eukaryota; Viridiplantae; Streptophyta; Magnoliopsida; Fabales; Fabaceae. The record is from RNAcentral.
UUAAUAAAUGUAUGAGGUCAAAGGGUGAUCAUGAAGGUCCAACGCCUAGAAAGGUGACCUCCAUUGCGGGUGUCUUUCUAAAGUCUACCCAAGUGGUGGGGUAUAUAUCAUAAUUUGUUGUUGUGGGGGGGUUUGCAUUCGCGCGGCCCCUUA